UUUUGUGCACGCCCAACAUAUUUUGUGAUUUGUAUAAACUCAGUGGCUCACUAUUGUGUUGGAUUAGAAAAAGCUCAUAACACCAACGGUUUAUCGCCUUUGCAUCUGGUGGUCCUCAUAGGCUCGGUUGUAGUUCUAGAAGAGUUCCUGGAAAAGGCUCCAUUGUUCUUCAGCUCCCUCACACGAUCGAAGGAGACAGUCUUUCAUCUCGCUGCACGAAACAAAAACGUAGAUGGCUUCAUUUUCAUGGCAGAGAGGCUGGGCAUUAACAGCCAAAAACUUCUGCAGCAAGUAGAUGUUAAUGGCAAUACUGUCUUACAUAUCGCUGUUUCCAUGGCUUGUGGUGCUCCGAAGGGAAGGAUACAAGUAAAAGACUCCUUUGAAUAGAGAUAAAGGUCUUCUCUUUGUGGAAUUGCGAGAUCUAAGAAAGAGGAUGAAAGCGAUCAAGAGGUUAAUUGAUUACGGUUUCAGGGUAUCUUAUUAUGGAUUAAGAGAGGGGCUUUGAUCUUCACAUGAUUUGUUUUUUCAUGAAUGCUCUGGAAACAGUUUCGAAAUCUCUUCUCCACCACCGCCACUACAUCCAUAGCUUCCGCAUUUUCCAAACAGAGGUCUUCACACUAUGGUGUUGUUCGUUUGCUCACACAGGUGAUCCAUUUGGGUGAAGAUACAAAUUGAUUUUUAUUUUGUACAUUAUAAUGCUACAUCCAGAUGGAUCACCCAG
This is a long non-coding RNA of Brassica oleracea var. oleracea, 721 nucleotides long. RefSeq lists it as uncharacterized. The transcript is spliced from 3 exons. The record is from RefSeq and is a predicted model, not a curated record. Lineage: Eukaryota; Viridiplantae; Streptophyta; Magnoliopsida; Brassicales; Brassicaceae.